AUGAACGCUGGCGGCGUGCCUAAUAAAUGCAAGUCGAGCGAACAGACGAGGAGCUUGCUCCUCUGACGUUAGCGGCGGACGGGUGAGUAACACGUGGAUAACCUACCUAUAAGACUGGGAUAACUUCGGGAAACCGGAGCUAAUACCGGAUAAUAUAUUGAACCGCAUGGUUCAAUAGUGAAAGACGGUUUUGCUGUCACUUAUAGAUGGAUCCGCGCCGCAUUAGCUAGUUGGUAAGGUAACGGCUUACCAAGGCAACGAUGCGUAGCCGACCUGAGAGGGUGAUCGGCCACACUGGAACUGAGACACGGUCCAGACUCCUACGGGAGGCAGCAGUAGGGAAUCUUCCGCAAUGGGCGAAAGCCUGCCGGAGCAACGCCGCGUGAGUGAUGAAGGUCUUCGGAUCGUAAAACUCUGUUAUUAGGGAAGAACAAAUGUGUAAGUAACUAUGCACGUCUUGACGGUACCUAAUCAGAAAGCCACGGCUAACUACGUG
RNAcentral lists this ribosomal RNA (496 nucleotides) under uncultured bacterium. Its description in RNAcentral is "partial 16S ribosomal RNA". It matches the Rfam family "Bacterial small subunit ribosomal RNA", at positions 29 to 507 of the family's 1533-position model. The record is from RNAcentral.